This 254-nucleotide unclassified non-coding RNA is filed under the name Hevea brasiliensis (rubber tree). Lineage: Eukaryota; Viridiplantae; Streptophyta; Magnoliopsida; Malpighiales; Euphorbiaceae. The record is from RNAcentral.
AGUCGAAGUUAGGGUUUCCCAUGGAAGACGUAAAAUGGUUUUCUGAAGAGAUCACAUUUCCUCCCAUGUUCGGUAAUACUUGGCAAUCCCCAUACAUUUUUCCUUCUUCGUUGUGUAUAUAUAUAAGCUAAUUAUUAAAAGAAACACCCCAAAAUUCUGGUUUCUUUUUACCAGCUUCACUUGAACCUAGCCGUCUCUGUGUCAACAAUCUUAUGUCGGUUGAUCUUUGAAAUUUCAGAAUUGAAUUCUUGGAA